AGCGAACGCUGGCGGCGUGCCUAACACAUGCAAGUCGAACGUGAACGGGGGCGACCCCUAGUAAAGUGGCGUACGGGUGAGUAACGCGUAGGUAAUCUACCCCAGAGUCUGGAAUAACCUGCCGAAAGGCGGGCUAAUACUGGAUAGAGCGAUGGAAUCCGUAAUUGGGUUUUUCGGGAAAGGGAGCGAGCAAUCGCCUUCGCUUUGGGAUGAGCCUGCGUCUCAUUAGCUAGUUGGUGGGGUAACGGCCCACCAAGGCAUUGAUGGGUAGCUGGUCUGAGAGGAUGAUCAGCCACACUGGAACUGAAACACGGUCCAGACUCCUACGGGAGGCAGCAGUGGGGAAUCUUGCGCAAUGGAGGAAACUCUGACGCAGCCACGCCGCGUGAGUGAAGAAGGCCU
RNAcentral lists this ribosomal RNA (402 nucleotides) under uncultured bacterium. RNAcentral describes it as "bacterial SSU rRNA". It matches the Rfam family "Bacterial small subunit ribosomal RNA", at positions 29 to 417 of the family's 1533-position model. The record is from RNAcentral.